AGAGUUUGAUCCUGGCUCAGAACGAACGUUGGCGGCGUGGAUUAGGCAUGCAAGUCGAACGAAUCCCCAGCAAUGGGGGGAAGUGGCGAAAGGGGCAGUAAGGUAUGGGUAACUUGCCCCGGAGACUGGGAUAGCCUUCCCAACGGAAGGGUAAUACCAGGCACCGUAGCGAGAGGGCAUCCCCUUGCUACGAAAGGAAU
Molecule: ribosomal RNA, 200 nt
Filed under: uncultured bacterium
Lineage: Bacteria
Description: partial 16S ribosomal RNA
Rfam family: Bacterial small subunit ribosomal RNA
Source: RNAcentral